Molecule: ribosomal RNA, 1061 nt
Filed under: Latilactobacillus curvatus
Lineage: Bacteria; Bacillati; Bacillota; Bacilli; Lactobacillales; Lactobacillaceae
Description: bacterial SSU rRNA
Rfam family: Bacterial small subunit ribosomal RNA
Source: RNAcentral
UGAGUGAGUGGCGGACGGGUGAGUAACACGUGGGUAACCUGCCCUAAAGUGGGGGAUAACAUUUGGAAACAGAUGCUAAUACCGCAUAAAACCUAGCACCGCAUGGUGCAAGGUUGAAAGAUGGUUUCGGCUAUCACUUUAGGAUGGACCCGCGGUGCAUUAGUUAGUUGGUGAGGUAAAGGCUCACCAAGACCGUGAUGCAUAGCCGACCUGAGAGGGUAAUCGGCCACACUGGGACUGAGACACGGCCCAGACUCCUACGGGAGGCAGCAGUAGGGAAUCUUCCACAAUGGACGAAAGUCUGAUGGAGCAACGCCGCGUGAGUGAAGAAGGUUUUCGGAUCGUAAAACUCUGUUGUUGGAGAAGAACGUAUUUGAUAGUAACUGAUCAGGUAGUGACGGUAUCCAACCAGAAAGCCACGGCUAACUACGUGCCAGCAGCCGCGGUAAUACGUAGGUGGCAAGCGUUGUCCGGAUUUAUUGGGCGUAAAGCGAGCGCAGGCGGUUUCUUAAGUCUGAUGUGAAAGCCUUCGGCUCAACCGAAGAAGUGCAUCGGAAACUGGGAAACUUGAGUGCAGAAGAGGACAGUGGAACUCCAUGUGUAGCGGUGAAAUGCGUAGAUAUAUGGAAGAACACCAGUGGCGAAGGCGGCUGUCUGGUCUGUAACUGACGCUGAGGCUCGAAAGCAUGGGUAGCAAACAGGAUUAGAUACCCUGGUAGUCCAUGCCGUAAACGAUGAGUGCUAGGUGUUGGAGGGUUUCCGCCCUUCAGUGCCGCAGCUAACGCAUUAAGCACUCCGCCUGGAGAGUACGACCGCAAGGUUGAAACUCAAAGGAAUUGACGGGCGCCCGCACAAGCGGUGGAGCAUGUGGUUUAAUUCGAAGCAACGCGAAGAACCUUACCAGGUCUUGACAUCCUUUGACCACUCUAGAGAUAGAGCUUUCCCUUCGGGGACAAAGUGACAGGUGGUGCAUGGUUGUCGUCAGCUCGUGUCGUGAGAUGUUGGGUUAAGUCCCGCAACGAGCGCAUCCUUAUUACUAGUUGCCAGCAUUUAGUUGGGCC